GUUGGAAUUUAUAAUCUUCCUUCUGAACUAACAGAGUGAGGCAGAGGAAGAUUUGAUACACACAGAAGAGGAGAGAGCAAUGUGAAGAUGGUGGCAGAGAUGGGACUGAUGAAGCCACCAGAAGCUGGAAGACAUAAGGAUCCGAUUCUCCCCUGGAGCAUCUGGAAGAAGCAAGGUCCUGUCAACAUUGUGCUUUUAGUCAUUGAAAUGAAUAUUGAACAGAAUCCUGUCCCCUAGCACUAGUAGAGAAUAAAGUUAUGUUGUUUUAAGCCACCAAUUUAUGAUGAUUUCUUAUGGCAGCCACGGGAUACUAAUUUACCUUCUCAGAUGAU
RNAcentral lists this long non-coding RNA (332 nucleotides) under Homo sapiens (human). RNAcentral describes it as "HSALNT0091762". Lineage: Eukaryota; Metazoa; Chordata; Mammalia; Primates; Hominidae. The record is from RNAcentral.